ACUCAAAUGAAUUGACGGGGAUUCGCACAAGCGGUGGAUUAUGUGGCUUAAUUCGAUGUCGAACGAAAAACCUUACCAAGGUUUGAAACCAUACUGCACGCUCCCAGAAACGGGAGAAGCCUUCGAGGGUGUAUGGCAGGUGAUGCAUGGUCGUCGUCAGUUCGUGGCUUGAGCUGUUCCCUUAAGUGGGGAAACGAACGCAACCCCUGUUGCCUGUUUAAUUUGUCAGGCGAGACUGCUUCCUCACGGAAGAGGAAGGAAGGGAUGACGCCAGAUCAGCAUGUCCCUCUGAUACCUUGGGCUGCACACAUAAUACAAUGGGCGCGACAAAAGGCUGCGAAGUGGUAACACGGAGCUAAUCCUUAAACGCGUCCUCAAUACGGAUUGAGGUCUGCAACUCGACCUCAUGAAGCCGGAAUCGCUAGUAAUCGUAGGUCAGCAGACUACGGUGAAUACGUUCUCGAAUCUUGUACACACCGCCCGU
RNAcentral lists this ribosomal RNA (484 nucleotides) under uncultured bacterium. RNAcentral's name for it is "partial 16S ribosomal RNA". It matches the Rfam family "Bacterial small subunit ribosomal RNA", at positions 899 to 1397 of the family's 1533-position model. The record is from RNAcentral.